RNAcentral lists this ribosomal RNA (234 nucleotides) under uncultured Candidatus Saccharibacteria bacterium. RNAcentral's name for it is "partial 16S ribosomal RNA". It matches the Rfam family "Bacterial small subunit ribosomal RNA", at positions 584 to 818 of the family's 1533-position model. The record is from RNAcentral. Lineage: Bacteria; Candidatus Saccharimonadota.
UAAGCCGGAUGUGAAAUCGUGUGGCUCAACCACACAAUUGUGUCCGGAACUGAAGAACUAGAGCAUAUGAGAGGUAGCUGGAAUUCCUGGUGUAGGAGUGAAAUCCGUAGAUAUCAGGAGGAACACCGAUGGCGUAGGCAGGCUACUGGCAUAUUGCUGACGCUGAGGCACGAAAGCGUGGGAGCGAACGGGAUUAGAUACCCCGGUAGGCCACGCCGUAAACGAUGAAUGCUA